Neofelis nebulosa (Clouded leopard) is the source of this 1269-nucleotide long non-coding RNA. RefSeq lists it as uncharacterized. Lineage: Eukaryota; Metazoa; Chordata; Mammalia; Carnivora; Felidae. The record is from RefSeq and is a predicted model, not a curated record. The transcript is spliced from 3 exons.
AUACGCGCGCAUCAAAGGAAAUAAAUAACGCUUAACCGCCGCUGUGGAAUCCGGCCACGCCGGGUCACACGUCUGUCGGGCCAUCUGCAGGGCAGGGCCAGGCCAAAAGGGGUCCACAGGGCUGUUUUGAACUCCAGGAGAGAGAGAGAGAACUUUCUGGGAACUGGGGUUAGAGCAGACGAAAAGAAGGCCAUACCACACAAAAAUGAAUGGCUGGUGUGUGGGGGAGAGACAAACGGCUAGAAGCAGCUAGAAGCGAUGUCUCCAGCCCGAAGCCCGCGGGGACAAGACCGUCUGUGCUCGGGCCCCGCAAGCAACCAGCCGUCAGUGAGCGACAAUAAACACGUUAUGUCAAGGCCUCUUCAACAGGCUUGCUAUUUGGAAGACAUUCAGAUCUUGGAAAUUAUUCACAUCGGAGGGAAAACAUCUCAGACGCAAGAAAGUAUCGUGUCUAAAGUAGGUACCCCCUCGGCACCUUUGCCCUCUACAAGGACAUGUCUGUGCUGUCUUCUCUUGGGCGCCCUGUGCCUGGCCCCAGGCGGCAUCUCGGUGGCUCGAGGCUGUGACCCCACUGUCCAGGCCCUUCCUUCCGCAGAGGACGAAUACGUAGUAUGAAGCACGGACCGGCUCUGCGAGUGCCAGGCCAGCACAACCUCUUGUAAGAGGCUCAGGCAGCAGGUGGCAUUAUCCUUAUUUUUCAGAUGAGGAAUCUGAGGCUGGCUCGGGAGGCUGAAGAUGAGCCCCCCCACCCCCACUCCCCAGUCUGCCCCUUGGGCUGUCAUGGGGAAGCUCAAGUAGGGACGGGAGGAAUCAGCCGGAAUGCCUGCCAAGAAAGCUCAGCUUCGGGCCCAGCCCCAGGCCGGGGAGCCGCUUCCUGUGGCCCUGCCGGGGUGGCCCCAGAGGAGAACCUGCUGGAAUGUUUUCAUCCACAUGCACAGGCAGUGAAUCAGCGGGGCCUGGCACAUGGACAGAUCUGCUCGCGGGCCCAGCCUCUAGGGGACAUGGCCUUUGCCCCCAGGCCCGGGGAGGAGCUGCCCUUCUGGCCCAGCUCCCAUCUCAGGUUCAGUCUUCUCCUCUUUAGACCUCACGCAACAAUGCUGCGGAGGCAUUUUCUGUAGAAACCAGUGAUCCUCUGACUUGGGCUGGGAUCGGGGAGAUACGUGGUGCCUCAUGCCCCAGAAGGGCAGCCGGCCCAUCUCUCAGCUGACCCCAAACCUAGCCCAUCUGUAAAACAACAACAGUGUGAGGGGCUUCAGGCCAUGCAACUGA